AACGCGAAGAACCUUACCAUCCCUUGACAUCCACAGAAGAGAGAAGAGAUUUUCUUGUGCCUUCGGGAACUGUGAGACAGGUGCUGCAUGGCUGUCGUCAGCUCGUGUUGUGAAAUGUUGGGUUAAGUCCCGCAACGAGCGCAACCCUUAUCCUUGUUUGCCAGCGAGUAAUGUCGGGAACUCCAGGGAGACUGCCGGUGAUAAACCGGAGGAAGGUGGGGACGACGUCAAGUCAUCAUGGCCCUUACGAGUAGGGCUACACACGUGCUACAAUGGCGCAUACAGAGGGCAGCCAACUUGCGAAAGUGAGCGAAUCCCAAAAAGUGCGUCGUAGUCCGGAUUGGAGUCUGCAACUCGACUCCAUGAAGUCGGAAUCGCUAGUAAUCGUAGAUCAGAAUGCUACGGUGAAUACGUUCCCGGGUCUUGUACACACCG
Molecule: ribosomal RNA, 435 nt
Filed under: uncultured bacterium
Lineage: Bacteria
Description: bacterial SSU rRNA
Rfam family: Bacterial small subunit ribosomal RNA
Source: RNAcentral